ACGGGAAAACUUUUCCACUCCUAUGGUUUUGGCAACCGGAUGGUCCUUCCCUGGCUGGACCCUGCCGUCUCCGGGGCUGCUGGAGCUGAGACCUGGGGACCUUGGACAAAAAGCAGGCAGAAGGUCAGAAUUCUUAGCAUGUCAGUUUCCUGAAUCUCUGCCUGGGUCCCAUGGAAGCAACAGUGGAGGGAAACCACAGGAAAGAACCCAGGACUGGCCCUGUGCGCCUGUGGUUCGAGCCGGCUGCAUGGACUGGAGGGUUCGCGGUUCUCACCAGACAGGCAUCUGUUAGACGACUCUGAGGACACAAUUACCAAGGCUUUGACUGGAUUGUCACAUUUGAGAGAGAUGUACAUGGACACAGAUAUGACCAGACAGCUUUAAAGAACAAGGUUGACUUUAUGGAGCCAAUGAAACCCCGUGGGAAGAUAGGUCUGGUGCCUUGAUUGCAUGGUUUUCAGCAGCCUUACUAAUCAAGUACGGAAGGUUACUCAGGUGCAGGAACCUCAGAAUAUUUGGGGGCCUUGAUAAGAGAAGAAAAUUCACCCAAAGCCAUAGGUAUUGCAGGCCUCACUUUGGGAGCCCACCUGAAAGAACACCUCCUGAAAUGAAACUUGACCUAUCUUGGGACUGAGUGAUGCGUUCAGUGAGUUGGAGCAGUCAGUUGAGCUUCUGGACUACUGUGAAACUUGUUUGAAGUUUCAAAGGUGGGACUGAAGGGGGACAAAAUAUACCAGUCCAAAAUGGACCUCUUGGGCAUAUCGAUUGUUUUGGGCUGGCUGAUGAGAAGCAGAGCCACGGGCAGAGCUCUGAACACCGAGCGGAAGCUGCCCUGUAGGAAGGGGCAUUUGCAGGCCGUGCAAGGGGAAUCUCCUUCGGGAAGGGCUUCUCCCUCUGCACCAGGAAGAGGAGAUGUCCAAAUGUCUGGGCACUGUUCCCAGUGGAGAAGGCAGGGCUUAAACCUGGUACCAGCCUGACCCUGUUUACUGUGCUUGCCCUGCUCACCUCUGGUCUGGUAACUGCCUCCCUGCCCCCACCCUCCUUUGUCUGUAGCUGAAGAUUGUAUUUAAGGUGAUGGCUUUUGCCAUUUAGGAGAGUUACUACAUUUUCCUGGGUCUCCCCCAUGUAUAUGGAGACAUACGUGUUAUUAAACUUUUUGUUUGCUUUUCUCCUGUUAAUUUGUUUUAUAUCAAUUUGGUUAUUAGAACUGCCAAGAACCUAGAAAAGAAG
Molecule: long non-coding RNA, 1230 nt
Organism: Manis pentadactyla (Chinese pangolin)
Lineage: Eukaryota; Metazoa; Chordata; Mammalia; Pholidota; Manidae
Exons: 4
Source: RefSeq, a predicted model, not a curated record